Non-coding RNA from Nicotiana sylvestris (wood tobacco), 88 nucleotides. Lineage: Eukaryota; Viridiplantae; Streptophyta; Magnoliopsida; Solanales; Solanaceae. The record is from Rfam.
ACGAGCCACAUGCAGGGAAACUUGCACGUGCGGUUCUGGUCGGGCUUUCUUGAGGUAUCUAAUAACCUUGCUUCUGUAGCGACUACCU